This 271-nucleotide ribosomal RNA is filed under the name uncultured bacterium. RNAcentral describes it as "partial 16S ribosomal RNA". It matches the Rfam family "Bacterial small subunit ribosomal RNA", at positions 524 to 794 of the family's 1533-position model. The record is from RNAcentral.
UACAGAGACUGCAAGCGUUAUUCGGAUUCACUGGGCGUAAAGGGUGCGCAGGCGGCCGGGUGUGUCAGAUGUGAAAUCCCGAGGCUUAACCUCGGAACUGCGUCUGAAACUACUCGGCUAGAGUAUUGGAGAGGGUAACGGAAUUCACGGUGUAGCAGUGAAAUGCGUAGAUAUCGUGAGGAACACCAGAGGCGAAGGCGGCGACCUGGUCCUUUACUGACGCUGAGGCGCGAAAGCGUGGGGAGCAAACAGGAUUAGAAACCCGGGUAGU